This 591-nucleotide ribosomal RNA is filed under the name Pseudohyphozyma pustula. RNAcentral describes it as "eukaryotic LSU rRNA". It matches the Rfam family "Eukaryotic large subunit ribosomal RNA", at positions 47 to 662 of the family's 3401-position model. Lineage: Eukaryota; Fungi; Basidiomycota; Microbotryomycetes; Chrysozymaceae. The record is from RNAcentral.
UAAGCGGAGGAAAAGAAACUAACAAGGAUUCCCCUAGUAACGGCGAGUGAAGCGGGAAGAGCUCAAAUUUGUAAUCUGGCACCUUCGGUGUCCGAGUUGUAAUCUCGAGAAGUGUUUUCCGCGCCAGACCGCAUACAAGUCUGUUGGAAUACAGCGUCAUAGUGGUGAGAACCCCGUAUAUGAUGCGGAUGCCUGGUGCUCUGUGAUACACUUUCGAAGAGUCGAGUUGUUUGGGAAUGCAGCUCAAAUUGGGUGGUAAAUUCCAUCUAAAGCUAAAUAUUGGCGAGAGACCGAUAGCGAACAAGUACCGUGAGGGAAAGAUGAAAAGCACUUUGGAAAGAGAGUUAACAGUACGUGAAAUUGUUGGAAGGGAAACGCUUGAAGUCAGACUUGCUAUUUGGAAUUCAGCCGCAAGGUGUACUUUUCAAUUUGCAGGCCAGCAUCAGUUUUUGGGGAUGGAAAAGGAUUAGGAGAAGGUAGCAGUUUCGGCUGUGUUAUAGCUCUUAAUUGGAUUCAUCCCUGGGGACUGAGGAACGCAGCUUCGGCUUAGGAUGCUGGUGGAAUGGCUUUAAACGACCCGUCUUGAAACAC